CUCAGAGGAUGGUGAUGUCCUGGCACAGAUUUCCCAGAGAAGCUGUGGCUGCCCCUGGGUCCCUGGAAGUGUCCAAGGCCAGUCUGGACAGGGCUUGGAGCAGCCUGGGACAGUGGAACGUGUCCCUGAACAUGGCAGGGGUGGAACUGGACAAGCGCUAAAAUCCCUUCCAACCCAAACUAUUAGCGAGAGCAGGAUCAUUGCAUCUCCACAGGACUUCCUCCUUCAGGGUCUUUCCUGAUGUCAGCUAUACAGCUCUCCAUCCACAGAGAUAGCACAGGGGGUACACAGCAUACACUGUAGAUAUUAAGCCUCAGCCCUUGCUUGGCUCCUUGGUCAUUAUCCCACAGACAGCAGUGUUGCGUGAGGAGAACUUGGGCUGUGCUUCUGCCCUGGAGCCUGGGAAAAGCUCAGCGCAGAUGUUAGAAACAAUUGUUGCUUUAGGAAAGCUUUAAAAUCUGACUACUUUUGUGCUCAGUAACAGUAUGUCUGGUUUUUAAUUUUUGCAAAGCCUACAAUGGCCAGGACAGAAAUUAGUUCAUUUUAAAGAUGAAGGAUUUCCAUAGUAUUUAUUUGACUUGGCUUGGCAGCAGUGCUCUGUUUACAACUGGAUAAAUAACUGCCACAUUAAAGAUUAUUAACUAGCAAUGCUUCAGUGGCCAAUAAAGCACUAAUCUUUU
Molecule: long non-coding RNA, 680 nt
Organism: Vidua macroura (Pin-tailed whydah)
Lineage: Eukaryota; Metazoa; Chordata; Aves; Passeriformes; Viduidae
Exons: 2
Source: RefSeq, a predicted model, not a curated record